CUCGUAGACUCCUACGGGAGGCAGCAGUGGGGAAUAUUGGACAAUGGGGGAAACCCUGAUGCAGCCAUGCCGCGUGUGUGAAGAAGGCCUUCGGGUUGUAAAGCACUUUCAGUAGGGAGGAAGGUAGUGUAGUUAACACCUGCAUUAUUUGACGUUACCUACAGAAGAAGCACCGGCUAACUCCGUGCCAGCAGCCGCGGUAAUACGGAGGGUGCGAGCGUUAAUCGGAAUUACUGGGCGUAAAGCGCAUGCAGGCGGCCUGUUAAGUCAGAUGUGAAAGCCCCGGGGCUUAACCUCGGAAUUGCAUUUGAAACUGGCAGGCUAGAGUCUUGUAGAGGGGGUAGAAUUUCAGGUGUAGCGGUGAAAUGCGUAGAGAUCUGAAGGAAUACCAGUGGCGAAGGCGGCCCCCUGGACAAAGACUGACGCUCAGAUGCGAAAGCGUGGGGAGCAAACAGGAUUAGAUACCCUGGGAG
RNAcentral lists this ribosomal RNA (473 nucleotides) under uncultured bacterium. RNAcentral's name for it is "bacterial SSU rRNA". It matches the Rfam family "Bacterial small subunit ribosomal RNA", at positions 328 to 793 of the family's 1533-position model. The record is from RNAcentral.